AGUGAACGCUGGCGGCAGGCCUAACACAUGCAAGUCGAGCGGCAGCGCGGGGGCAACCCUGGCGGCGAGCGGCGGACGGGUGAGGAAUUCGUCGGAAUCUGCCUUUUUGUGGGGGAUAACGUAGGGAAACUUACGCUAAUACCGCAUACGUCCUACGGGAGAAAGUGGGGGACCGCAAGGACUCACGCAGAAAGAUGAGCCGACGACCGAUUAGCUAGUUGGUGGGGUAAAGGCCCACCAAGGCGACGAUCGGUAGCUGGUCUGCGAGGAUGAUCAGCCACACGGGGACGGAGACACGGCCCAGACUCCUACGGGAGGCAGCAGUGGGGAAUAUUGGACAAUGGGGGCAAGCCUGAUCCAGCCAUGCCGCGUGUGUGAAGAAGGCCUUCGGGUUGUAAAGCACGUUUGUCCGGAAAGAAAUCCCUGGAGCUAAUACCUUCGGGGGAUGACGGUACCGGAAGAAUAAGCACCGGCUAACUUCGUG
Molecule: ribosomal RNA, 484 nt
Filed under: uncultured bacterium
Lineage: Bacteria
Description: partial 16S ribosomal RNA
Rfam family: Bacterial small subunit ribosomal RNA
Source: RNAcentral